GAUGAACGCUGGCGGCGUGCCUAAUACAUGCAAGUCGAGCGAACAGACGAGGAGCUUGCUCCUCUGACGUUAGCGGCGGACGGGUGAGUAACACGUGGAUAACCUACCUAUAAGACUGGGAUAACUUCGGGAAACCGGAGCUAAUACCGGAUAAUAUAUUGAACCGCAUGGUUCAAUAGUGAAAGACGGUUUUGCUGUCACUUAUAGAUGGAUCCGCGCCGCAUUAGCUAGUUGGUAAGGUAACGGCUUACCAAGGCAACGAUGCGUAGCCGACCUGAGAGGGUGAUCGGCCACACUGGAACUGAGACACGGUCCAGACUCCUACGGGAGGCAGCAGUAGGGAAUCUACCGCAAUGGGCGAAAGCCUGACGGAGCAACGCCGCGUGAGUGAUGAAGGUCUUCGGAUCGUAAAACUCUGUUAUUAGGGAAGAACAAAUGUGUAAGUAACUAUGCACGUCUUGACGGUACCUAAUCAGAAAGCCACGGCUAACUACGU
Molecule: ribosomal RNA, 496 nt
Filed under: uncultured bacterium
Lineage: Bacteria
Description: partial 16S ribosomal RNA
Rfam family: Bacterial small subunit ribosomal RNA
Source: RNAcentral